CCAGGUGAAUACGGAAUAUUCCAAAACAUUCCACUGGCUUAUGGACCUCCAAGGAAAACUAUGACCAGGUGGUGACGUAACAUGAGGAAUCCGAGAUGGGGGAAACUCAGUUAGGGUGCUCAUUUUAGCCUGGGGAGCACAAUAAAGGUGUUCACCCUUUUCGGGGUUGGAAUAUAUUCAAGUGACAGAUGUCACACUGUUCCUGGGAGUUCUGACUGCUUUCAUCUUAUGGACCUAUUACCAAGACCACCUGCUCCCUCUCCUUACGGAAAUGCCUCGGAAGUCUUACAGUUGGGAGAUGCAGGAAGUCCACUCCACACCUUUGCCAGUACCUGUAAGCAGAAGGAAAACACAGAGUCAGAAAGCACUGGACUCCUUAGAGCUCUCCCAGAUGCAUCCCUUAAGGGACAGGCUUUCCCCAGCCUGGGCACAGAGGAGCCUCAAGUCAAGCACAAUGUAAGGAUUCCCGGCCACGGUCGCCAGGUGCAGGGAAGAACAAUUCGUCAUCAAGUAAAUUGCAGGCGUGGUGUUCUGAGUUCCGAUGGAUAA
This 549-nucleotide long non-coding RNA is filed under the name Mus spicilegus (steppe mouse). RNAcentral describes it as "lncRNA (ENSMSIG00000005996.1)". Lineage: Eukaryota; Metazoa; Chordata; Mammalia; Rodentia; Muridae. The record is from RNAcentral.